RNAcentral lists this ribosomal RNA (389 nucleotides) under uncultured bacterium. RNAcentral describes it as "bacterial SSU rRNA". It matches the Rfam family "Bacterial small subunit ribosomal RNA", at positions 30 to 402 of the family's 1533-position model. The record is from RNAcentral.
AGUGAACGCUGGCGGCAGGCCUAACACAUGCAAGUCGAGCGGCAGCGGGUCCCCGCGAGGGGAUGCCGGCGAGCGGCGGACGGGUGAGGAACACAUCGGAAUCUGCCUGGUUGUGGGGGAUAACGUAGGGAAACUUACGCUAAUACCGCAUGCGACCCUGAGUCGACGGACUGGGGGUGAAAGUGAGGGACCUUCGGGCCUCACGCGACCAGAUGAGCCGAUGUCGGAUAGCUAGUUGGCGGGGUAACGGCCCGCCAAGGCGACGAUCCGUAGCUGGUCUGAGAGGAUGAUCAGCCACACUGGGACUGAGACACGGCCCAGACUCCUACGGGAGGCAGCAGUGGGGAAUCUUGGACAAUGGGCGCAAGCCUGAUCCAGCCAUGCCGCGU